UAAGACAGAGGUGCCGAGCGUUAGGCGGAAUCACUGGGCUUAAAGCGUGUGUAGGCGGAUCGUUAAGUACCUUGUGAAAUCCCACGGCUUAACCGUGGAACUGCUUGGUAUACUGGCGGUCUUGAGCCACCUAGGGGCAACCGGAACAAAUGGUGGAGCGGUGAAAUGCGUAGAUAUCAUUUGGAACGCCAAUGGUGAAAACAGGUUGCUGGGGGUGUGCUGACGCUGAGACACGAAAGCCAGGGGAGCGAACGGGAUUAGAUACCCCGGUAGUCCUGGCCGUAAACGAUGUCGACUAGAUCGUAGUGCCUCUGACGGUAUUACGGUCGAAGCAAAAGUGCUAAGUCGACCGCCUGGGAAGUACGGUCGCAAGGCUA
RNAcentral lists this ribosomal RNA (377 nucleotides) under uncultured bacterium. RNAcentral's name for it is "bacterial SSU rRNA". It matches the Rfam family "Bacterial small subunit ribosomal RNA", at positions 521 to 896 of the family's 1533-position model. The record is from RNAcentral.